ACCGGCAGCUCAAGUGGUGGCCAUUUUUAUUGAGCAUAAAGCGUUCGUAGCCGGUUUGAUAAGUCUCUGGUGAAAUCCCGCAGCUUAACUGUGGGACUUGCUGGAGAUACUAUUAGACUUGAGGUCGGGAGAGGUUAGGGGUACUCCUAGGGUCGUGGUAAAAUAAUCCAAUUGUGGGAGGAGAAUAUGUGGCGAAGGUGGGUAGCUGGAUCGUUGCUGCCGGUGAGCACAGAGCGAAUGAGGCGCGCACCG
Molecule: ribosomal RNA, 252 nt
Filed under: uncultured prokaryote
Description: partial 16S rRNA
Rfam family: Archaeal small subunit ribosomal RNA
Source: RNAcentral